Molecule: ribosomal RNA, 433 nt
Filed under: uncultured bacterium
Lineage: Bacteria
Description: partial 16S ribosomal RNA
Rfam family: Bacterial small subunit ribosomal RNA
Source: RNAcentral
AACGAACGCUGGCGGCAUGCCUAACACAUGCAAGUCGAACGAGACCUUCGGGUCUAGUGGCGCACGGGUGCGUAACGCGUGGGAACCUGCCCUUAGGUUCGGAAUAACUCCCCGAAAGGGGUGCUAAUACCGGAUAAUGUCUUCGGACCAAAGAUUUAUCGCCGUUGGAUGGUCCCGCGUUGGAUUAGCUAGUUGGUAGGGUAAUAGCCUACCAAGGCGACGAUCCAUAGCUGGUCUGAGAGGAUGAUCAGCCACACUGGGACUGAGAAACGGCCCAGAAUCCUACGGGAGGCAGCAGUGGGGAAUAGUGGACAAUGGGCGAAAGCCUGAUCCAGCAAUGCCGCGUGAGUGAUGAAGGCAUGAGGGUUGUAAAGCGCUUUUAACCGGGAUGAUAAUGACAGUACCGGGAGAAUAAGCUACGGCUAACUCCGUG